Pygocentrus nattereri (red-bellied piranha) is the source of this 298-nucleotide small nucleolar RNA. NCBI's taxonomy places the organism in Eukaryota, Metazoa, Chordata, Actinopteri, Characiformes, Serrasalmidae. The record is from RefSeq and is a predicted model, not a curated record.
GCCCAGUGAUGAGACUAUGGCACGCAUGAGUUGAAUGACUGAGAGAUUGUGUUCUUGUGCUCACUGAUUGGUGGGUAAUCUUGAUUGAGCAGUGGAGAUUGGCUGCUCAGUUGUAAGGGCCCACCUAAAGUACACCUAGUGACCAAUCAGAGUGCUGCCUUCUCCCAAAGAAAUGGGUUCUGGGAAGUGAUUGGUAACUUACAGCGUGUCUCUGUGUGUGUGUCAGUCAGUGAGUGCAGAGUCACUUUUCUCUUUGAGUCACACAGCUUUGAACUUGUUCUUUGGUAAUCUGAGGGCA